ACAGCAGUAGUUAGCUAAUAACUCGGUUAACUAAGCUAGCUGUUAUAAUAUUUCAGCGCUUGUUUCAGCUUUUCUCUGUGGUUUUUAUUUUAUUUACUACAGUCAUAUGUGUUGUUUAUUUAGGCCACUCACACUGUGCAGAUUAUUAGUUGGGUAGUAAUCUACAGGCUUCAGCAGUAGGCUAUCUGUCCUGCACUUUUAAUGGGGAUUUAACAGGUCCUCAGUUCUUCAUGACAUGGAUUCCAAAAGAUGUUGGUAAAAAUUCCCUUGAGAUUCUGCUUCUUGCUGACAUGAUUGCGUCACGCAAUUCCUGCAGAUUUUCCAGGAGCACUUAUAAACUGCAAAUCUUCCAUUUUACCAAAUCCCAAAGAGGAAGAAAGUGAUCACCGCAGCUAUGAGCAGGAUAUGGUUGCUGUUUUCCGUCGAUGAGGUGGUGAAAUGCAAGUCUAGGUGAUGCACAUGGAUUGCAUUUCAUGUAUGAGCACAGCAAAGCAGCAUCAAGGAUGAUGAGGUUGCAUGGCAUUGACCCCUUCCUUGCGGAGAAGCAGCACACUGCAAACAGAGCAGAAUCCGGUGAAGGGCAGAUGUCAGAGUGGCCACUAUCAGCCUGGACUCAGCCUGGCUUCACCAACAAGGGAGUGGGGUAGGGGUACUGAGACAGAGAGAGCCCACGGGCCUGUAACUGUCACCCCAUCCAUGCAGAGACAGCACCACCACGGACCCUGGCUGUAGUUCUAUAAACACCUCUCCAUUCAGAGUGACCACCAGGGAAUUCACCAUUCAGGUAAACAGAUAAGAAAAUACCCCAGUGUUUGCUCUCCCAAUUAGAGCCUCCUGAUUUACUACCAGCCCACAGACUCACGUAUCACUUACACACUGCGUUUGUGACUGUGUGACUGCAUUUUCUGAAAAAAAACUUAAGUUUUUUUUAUAAAGCACUAACGCUAUAUAUCAGUAGCUGAUGUAUCUGAAUUAUAAACCUGUACACACACAAAGUAACAAAAUGCAGUACAACUGUGAUUUACCUACUUAAUUUGUCUGAAUAGCCCUGUUUAAUUACAAAAACAAGCCCUGCUGUGGAAUUAGGAUUAGUUUUUUUUUUCACUUUCUUUUCCUUUUCCUGAUUAAAAUGUAGUGUAAUUGCCUGAAUAACCUAAUACUACUAGGGGUUUAACAUGGGGACACAUUGAUACAUUAUCACACCACAAUGCAAGACAAAUAAAGGUGUGCCACAUGGAGAAAAGUGGAGAAAAUAUGGGGAGAUUUUCAGCUCUCGUGCAUUUUUUUUUGCUUAUUUGAAACAUAUAAAGAAACAUUAUGUAAAAAAAAUAAUUGACCAUAAAAUAACAUCAUUAAAAUCAAGUGUUUCACAUAUUUUUUUAAAUAUA
This is a long non-coding RNA of Astyanax mexicanus (Mexican tetra), 1388 nucleotides long. RefSeq lists it as uncharacterized. The record is from RefSeq and is a predicted model, not a curated record. The transcript is spliced from 4 exons. Lineage: Eukaryota; Metazoa; Chordata; Actinopteri; Characiformes; Acestrorhamphidae.